RNAcentral lists this transfer RNA (83 nucleotides) under Oribacterium sp. RNAcentral describes it as "tRNA-Leu". It matches the Rfam family "tRNA". From Rfam's summary of the family: Transfer RNA (tRNA) molecules are approximately 80 nucleotides in length. The record is from RNAcentral. Lineage: Bacteria; Bacillati; Bacillota; Clostridia; Lachnospirales; Lachnospiraceae. RNAcentral also lists the same sequence under 1 other name.
GCGGAGGUGGCGGAACGGCAGACGCGCACGGUUCAGGUCCGUGUGAGCUAACACUCGUGAGGGUUCAAAUCCCUUUCUCCGCA